Triplophysa rosa is the source of this 942-nucleotide long non-coding RNA. RefSeq lists it as uncharacterized. The transcript is spliced from 3 exons. Lineage: Eukaryota; Metazoa; Chordata; Actinopteri; Cypriniformes; Nemacheilidae. The record is from RefSeq and is a predicted model, not a curated record.
AGACAGAGGGAGGGACUGUCGAAAAAACGAGGAGGUGUUUUUCAUUGUGUCAUUUCAGCUAGUUUUUCUCACCCACACAUCUUUUUGCUCACACUCCUUAAACAACUGGACUCGAGCUAAUAAACUAUUUUACAAAAAGAGGAAGUUUUGAUGGGAAGUUUGUAAUCUGGUUGUGACUGGCACUUGUGAUAUACUUCUUUGAACUUCUGUGCUUAUAUAAACUGAAUGAAGCAGUAGCAGCUAAAAAAGGCAAGAAUCACCAGAGAUUUUUUCAGAGCAGAAACAUCCAAACUUGGUUAUUACAUAACUGGAUCACUGGCUCAUCUGAGGAAUUCCACACUGUUCUCUAAAAUCAAGUCUGGGCGAGUCUAGAUGUGUGAUCCAGCUAGUAAUAACCAACUAACACAAGUAAAGGUUAGUGAUGCUUUACUUGAAGAGCAUUCUGAUGUGGAGAAGGACCUGCACAGUGUCAUCUGCUGUAAUGGACAACAUAACAUCUGCAGAGACCCAGACCAUCGGAGAUUAGCCAUAUGCAGCAUCAUAUGUGGACUCUCAUGCAUCGGCAUUGUGUCCCUUAUCUACUCUGUCAAGUCUAGAGAGACAAGAAAAACACUUCAGACACAAGACAAUCUGAAAGUUAAAGAAUACUCAAGAAAAGCUUUAAAAUGGGGAACAGCCUCCAUUGUAGCAUGGGUGUUUUUAAUUUGUAUCUUUCCAUUUCUGCUGGGGUUACUGUCCUAUAUUAUGACCUUCAUAGACUAAGACAGCAAACCUUUGCUCCAGAUCUGCCAUGGAUUAUCACUCACACUGGACAGACUGGAAUAAGUCCACAAACCUUUUACACUGAUCAUUCAAAUUCAAUGUGUGUGCAAUUAUUUACUGCUGGUUAUACGAUUAUUGCAAAAUAUUCAAAAACCUAGACUCCGUUUAAUAGCUCUGACU